RNAcentral lists this ribosomal RNA (364 nucleotides) under uncultured eukaryote. RNAcentral describes it as "partial 18S ribosomal RNA". It matches the Rfam family "Eukaryotic small subunit ribosomal RNA", at positions 592 to 976 of the family's 1831-position model. The record is from RNAcentral.
CAAAAGCGUUUAUUAAAGUUGUUGCAGUUAAAAAGCUCGUAGUUGAACCUUGGGCUUGGCUGGCCGGUCCAUCUUUUUUGAUGCGUACUGGACCCAGCCGAGCCUUUCCUUCUGGCUAGCCUUUUGGCGAACCAGGACUUUUACUUUGAAAAAAUUAGAGUGUUCAAAGCAGGCCUUUGCUCGAAUAUAUUAGCAUGGAAUAAUAGAAUAGGACGUUAUGGUUCUAUUUUGUUGGUUUCUAGGACCAUCGUAAUGAUUAAUAGGGACGGUCGGGGGUAUCAGUAUUCAGUUGUCAGAGGUGAAAUUCUUGGAUUUACUGAAGACUAACUACUGCGAAAGCAUUUACCAAGGACGUUUUCAUUAA